This 468-nucleotide ribosomal RNA is filed under the name uncultured bacterium. RNAcentral's name for it is "partial 16S ribosomal RNA". It matches the Rfam family "Bacterial small subunit ribosomal RNA", at positions 28 to 507 of the family's 1533-position model. The record is from RNAcentral.
GACGAACGCUGGCGGCGUGCUUAACACAUGCAAGUCGAACGGAAAGGCCCUGCUUUUGUGGGUUGCUCGAGUGGCGAACGGGUGAGUAACACGUGAGUAACCUGCCCCUGACUUUGGGAUAACUUCAGGAAACUGUGGCUAAUACCGGCUAGGAGCUCCUGCUGCAUGGUUGGGGUUGAAAAGUUUCGGCGGUUGGGGAUGGACUCGCGGCGUAUCAGCUUGUUGGUGGGGUAGUGGCUUACCAAGGCUUUGACGGGUAGCCGGCCUGAGAGGGUGACCGGACACAUUGGGACUGAGAUACGGCCCAGACUCCUACGGGAGGCAGCAGUGGGGAAUAUUGCACAAUGGGAGGAAGGCUGAUGCAGCAACGCCGCGUGCGGGAUGACGGCCUUCGGGUUGUAAACCGCUUUCGCCUGUGACGAAGAGUGAGUGACGGUAAUGGGUAAAGAAGCACCGGCUAACUACGUG